UUCCUUUACUGUCCAGACCAUAAUCCCAUAGAAUUCCUUUUUGCCUAUCGAACUCUGUCCUACCUUAAAUGCUAUUUUUACUGAAUCUUUCCGAAAUUCUGUGUUAAUCUUACCCCUAAAAUCCUCAAAUCUUUCGAAGCACAGAGAGAGCCGAUUUACUUCCGCAAUUAUUUAUGUAUCGAUACACUUAACAAAGUAAAGUGUAAUUUAUUCUUGAUUUAUUUUCGAGCCCAACAGGUUUGAUAUAGGGGUUUUCCAAUCGAUUCAGAAAAAGCUAGAGAGAAUGGCGAGUCCUGUCAACGUUACUCAAGUGGGAUCGUAUUUUGUUCGGCAGUAUUAUCAGGCGUUUCAUCAACAAAGGGAUAUUGUGCAUCAGUUUAUUGUUGACAGUUCUAUGAUUAGAAUCGAUGGGGAUUCAAGUGAAUCCUUUUCGGGAAGGGCAAUGAGUAUCUUUUCGAAAUACGAAUUUUGAUUUUGGAUUUCAAUUAUUUCUUGUUAGAUCGGAUUAAGGUUAUCGUAUUGAUUCAGUUACAAUAUUUGUCAUGACAGAAAUAAUAUAGGGUCAUGACUCAUGAAUGCUUAAUGUUUUUCAUUAUUAUUAACAGAUAUCAUCACUUAAAUCAAUGCGCUCCUCAAUUCACAUAUUAAUGGACGCAAGGACCCACUGCUACCUAAACCGUUAAUAAUCUUUAGUAAUGAUGAUUAUCAUCAUUUGUCACGAAUGCAAUAAACUUAAUGUCAUUUGGGUAA
Olea europaea var. sylvestris is the source of this 750-nucleotide long non-coding RNA. RefSeq lists it as uncharacterized. The transcript has 2 exons. The record is from RefSeq and is a predicted model, not a curated record. NCBI's taxonomy places the organism in Eukaryota, Viridiplantae, Streptophyta, Magnoliopsida, Lamiales, Oleaceae.